CUAAAUCAACUGAGACAAGUUUCUGCCUAGGAUGCCUUGAUGUGUUGAUACUCACAGGAUGCAAUCUCCCUCCUUUGUCAAGUGAAUACACUAAGGAUGUUGGAUCCAAAAGUCAGUUAGUGACAGCUAAUCCCAGCAUAAUUCGGCAAAGGAGCGGUGGAUGAUUGGAUAAACUACUUCAGAGCAGAAGAGUAUUUAAUGAACUAUUCACAGAGAAGAUGAAACACAGUGAACUGUGCCUCUUAAUCCAUUCUGAGUGUAAUAAGAAAUUUUACCCAUCCUCCUUCAAACAUAAAGGUGAGACGGGAAAGUGGGCUGGAGUUGAGCAGAGUUCAGAGUUCUCCUAGCUAGGAACUGUCACAGCCACC
RNAcentral lists this long non-coding RNA (368 nucleotides) under Homo sapiens (human). RNAcentral's name for it is "non-protein coding lnc-ST8SIA1-2:1". Lineage: Eukaryota; Metazoa; Chordata; Mammalia; Primates; Hominidae. The record is from RNAcentral.